GCGGAGUAGCUCAGAUGGUUAGAGCAGUGGAAUCAUAAUCCAAAGGUCGGGGGUUCGAUCCCCUCCUCCG
Molecule: transfer RNA, 70 nt
Filed under: marine eukaryotic metagenome
Rfam family: tRNA
About the family: Transfer RNA (tRNA) molecules are approximately 80 nucleotides in length. Their secondary structure includes four short double-helical elements and three loops (D, anti-codon, and T loops). Further hydrogen bonds mediate the characteristic L-shaped molecular structure. tRNAs have two regions of fundamental functional importance: the anti-codon, which is responsible for specific mRNA codon recognition, and the 3' end, to which the tRNAs corresponding amino acid is attached (by aminoacyl-tRNA synthetases). tRNAs cope with the degeneracy of the genetic code in two manners: having more than one tRNA (with a specific anti-codon) for a particular amino acid; and 'wobble' base-pairing, i.e. permitting non-standard base-pairing at the 3rd anti-codon position.
Source: RNAcentral